AUUGAACGCUGGCGGCAGGCCUAACACAUGCAAGUCGAGCGGAUGAAGGGAGCUUGCUCCUGGAUUCAGCGGCGGACGGGUGAGUAAUGCCUAGGAAUCUGCCUGGUAGUGGGGGAUAACGUCCGUACACGGGCGCUAAUACCGCAUCCGUCCUGAGGUAGAACGUGGGGGAUCUUCGGACCUCACGCUAUCAGCUGAGCCUAGGUCGGAUUAGCUAGUUGGUGGGGUAAAGGCCUACCAAGGCGACGAUCCGUAACUGGUCUGAGAGGAUGAUCAGUCACACUGGAACUGAGACACGGUCCAGACUCCUACGGGAGGCAGCAGUGGGGAAUAUUGGACAAUGGGCGAAAGCCUGAUCCAGCCAUGCCGCGUGUGUGAAGAAGGUCUUCGGAUUGUAAAGCACUUUAAGUUGGGAGGAAGGGCAGUAAGUGAAUACCUGGCUGUUUUGACGUUACCAACAGAAUAAGCACCGGCUAACUUCGUG
This 484-nucleotide ribosomal RNA is filed under the name uncultured bacterium. Its description in RNAcentral is "partial 16S ribosomal RNA". It matches the Rfam family "Bacterial small subunit ribosomal RNA", at positions 30 to 507 of the family's 1533-position model. The record is from RNAcentral.